AUGUUGGGAAAGCUGUCUUCCGAAUUCUUGCCAAUUAUUCAACGUUGCAGAUUCAUCCUGGAGUUAAAUAUCGCUAAUACAUUGAGAUGUAGCAUUAAACGCGAAUAUGUAAAGUCAUCCACUUCGCAUGCCAGAAUAAAUGAAUCGAUCGUGGAAGAACUGCGGACGAUCUUCAAAUUUAAGGACACCAAGCUCAGCAACUGGAUUGUAGAGAAUAAGGCAUAUGCAUUAUGCGCCAGGUAUACAGAAAGCAACAAAAAAGAUCGUCAGCGAAUUUUGCGGACGCUGGCUUCGCAGUACGCUGUCCAACGUGACUUUGUAUGCCAAACAGCAAACAAGUACUUAGCCUGUAAGUCUGAAGAUAAAGAGCAGAUGAUUGUUCAUGAGAGAAUGCUGAGGAAUGUUCUUACACCAGCUUAUCACUGGUUGUUUGUUAUUAUAGGAAGGUUGCAGCAUGGUGUAAAGUUCUUGGUUAAUCUGAGAACCGAUGUUCUGGAACUAUUGUCAGAAAUGGAAGACAAUGAUGAAAGUAUAAUGAUACAACAGUUGAAUAAUACUUUGCAAAAUCUGCUUCUGCUUUGGUUUUCAGUAGGUUUCUUGCACCUGGAACGCGUAACUUUGGAAACUGCAUCUGAUAUAUUGCAAAAGGUUUCUGAUUACGAAGCCAUACAUCCUACAAGAAAUUGGUCGGAGUUGAAACGUAGAUUUGGACCUUAUAGAAGAUGUUACAUAUUUACGCAUCCAUCGAUGCCAAGAGAACCUCUUGUUCUCUUGCAUACAGCACUGUGCGAUGUUAUACCAGAGACUCUAAAGGGUAUCGAUGAAGCUGAAACUAGAAUUCUGGGAAGUGCAAAGAAGAAUGUAACAUUCUUAGAAGAAGAUAAAUCGAAAAUAACAGCAGCGAUAUUUUAUUCUGUAGCAUCCACUCAAAAAGGAUUGCAGGGAUUCGAGCUUGGUAAUUAUCUGAUAAAAGAAGUAGCUAAUGCGAUCACGACUGAAUUUCCAGCAGUGCAUCUAUUGUUCAGCUUAUCACCCAUACCGAACUUCAAGAAUUGGUUACUCGGAAAAUUGAAACAAGAUAUGGCCUUAAUACUUACCACACAAGAAUCCGAAGUUAUGAAAAACAUUUUGAAAACGAGGGAUGUGGUAUCAGCUUUAAACAAAGUUCUGAAUAAUUCAUCGUGGAUAGACGAUACGCAGUUAUCACACUUUUUGAAGGAGCCGCUACUUCGAGCAUGCGCGUGGUACUUGUACAAGGAAAAGAGACGCGGCUAUGCUUUCAAUAACGUUGCUAAUUUCCAUUUACGUAAUGGUGCUACGAUGUGGCGGAUAAAUUGGAUGGCUAAUCCUUCGUCGAUUGGACUAGCAAACAGUUGCGGUAUAAUGGUUAAUUAUAGAUAUUUCUUGGACAAAUGUGAGGCGAACAGUCGAAAUUACAUUGAAAAUUUCGUCAUAAAUGCCUCAGAAGACGUAAUCAAUCUCGCCAGACUAGCGGAAAUGUCGAGAUUAUGUAAUACAGUUCUGAAAGAAUCAUAAAAGAAUCAUAUAAUAAAUAAGGGGCUAUGAAUGAAAGAAUAUCACAAGAUAAUGACCAUAACGAUGAUAAUAAAACAUGAUUGAUGCAUGAAUAAUCAUAUAGAAGAGCAUGGAGAAAUAAUCGACAGGAUCGAUCGUCUUCAAACAGCAUUGAAAGUACUAAAUUACACAGUUUCCACUCUAUUUGUUAAUACUUAAUAUAUUUUACAAAUCUUUAUAUAAAACAGAGAAUAAAGUUGCAUAUAUAUACCUGUA
RNAcentral lists this unclassified non-coding RNA (1791 nucleotides) under Ooceraea biroi (clonal raider ant). Its description in RNAcentral is "malonyl-CoA decarboxylase, mitochondrial, transcript variant X3". The record is from RNAcentral. Lineage: Eukaryota; Metazoa; Arthropoda; Insecta; Hymenoptera; Formicidae.